ACGCUCGACACCUACGGGAGCAGCAGUGGGGAAUAUUGCACAAUGGGGGAAACCCUGAUGCAGCGACGCCGCGUGAGCGAAGAAGUAUUUCGGUAUGUAAAGCUCUAUCAGCAGGGAAGAAACUGACGGUACCUGACUAAGAAGCACCGGCUAAAUACGUGCCAACAGCCGCGGUAAUCUGAGCGGGCGUGGCAAGGC
Molecule: ribosomal RNA, 198 nt
Filed under: uncultured bacterium
Lineage: Bacteria
Description: partial 16S ribosomal RNA
Rfam family: Bacterial small subunit ribosomal RNA
Source: RNAcentral